GAUGAAGAACGUAGCGAAAUGCGAUACUUGGUGUGAAUUGCAGAAUCCCGUGAACCAUCGAGUCUUUGAACGCAAGUUGCGCCCGAAGCCACUAGGCCGAGGGCACGCCUGCCUGGGCGUCACACGUCGUUGCCCCCCACCAUCUACUCCUUCGGGAUUGCGGGGGGCGGAUGAUGGCCUCCCGUGCGCCUAGCCGCGCGGUUGGCAUAAAUACCAAGUCCUCGGCGACGCACGCCACGACAAUCGGUGGUUGCGAAACCUCGGUUGCCCGUCGUGUGCGUUCGUCGCGCAUCGAGGGCUCGAAAACAUGCUCGGCUCCGGCUCGGCUUUCAACGCGACCCCAGGUCAGGCGGGGUUACCCGCUGAAUUUAAGAAUAUCAAUAAGCGGAGGA
RNAcentral lists this unclassified non-coding RNA (392 nucleotides) under soil metagenome. RNAcentral describes it as "partial contains 5.8S ribosomal RNA, internal transcribed spacer 2, and large subunit ribosomal RNA". The stretch from base 1 to 122 matches the Rfam family "5.8S ribosomal RNA", at positions 35 to 154 of the family's 154-position model. The record is from RNAcentral.